Molecule: ribosomal RNA, 623 nt
Filed under: uncultured archaeon
Lineage: Archaea
Description: bacterial SSU rRNA
Rfam family: Archaeal small subunit ribosomal RNA
Source: RNAcentral
AUAAUACUCCAUAGAUUAGAGACACUGGAAUGUUCUUUAGUCGAAAGUUCUGGCGCCUUAGGAUGGAUCUGCGGUCGAUUAGGUUGUUGUUGGGGUAACGGCCCAACAAGCCUGUAAUCGAUACGGGUUGUGGGAGCAAGAGCCCGGAGACGGAAUCUGAGACACGAUUCCAGGCCCUACGGGGCGCAGCAGGCGCGAAAACUUUACAAUGCAGGAAACUGUGAUAAGGGAACUCCGAGUGCCCGUAUACGCGGGCUGUCCAGGUGUUUAAAAAUCAUCUGAAGAAAGGGCCGGGCAAGACCGGUGCCAGCCGCCGCGGUAAUACCGGCGGCUCGAGUGGUGGCCACUAUUAUUGGGCUUAAAGCGUCCGUAGCUGGACCGAUAAGUCUCUUGGGAAAUCCGCCGGCUCAACCGGCGGGCGUCUAAGGGAUACUGUUAGUCUAGGGACCGGGAGAGGUGAGAGGUACUCCGGGGGUAGGAGUGAAAUCCUGUAAUCCCCGGGGGACCACCGAUGGCGAAGGCAUCUCACCAGAACGGCUCCGACAGUGAGGGACGAAAGCUGGGGGAGCGAACCGGAUUAGAUACCCGGGUAGUCCCAGCCGUAAACUAUGCGCGUUAGGUGU